CAACUGUUGCAUCGGAGAGCGCUUUCAGUCAAGCAAGACUACAAAUCAGUGAUCACAGAGCGGUGAUGAGGGAGAGCAUGGAAAAAUCGGUGCUUUUUAGAAAUUCGAUCCGCGCGGAAAGAAGAAACUUUGGCAUUGCAGAAUCACAACCGGCGAUAGAUAAAGCAUAUGAAGAGAUGAUAGCAGAACUUUCUGAGGAAUCGGCUUCGACUGGAAGUGGUGAUGAACAAGAUU
This 234-nucleotide long non-coding RNA is filed under the name Nicotiana benthamiana. Its description in RNAcentral is "long non-coding RNA (NBEN_LNC001707)". The record is from RNAcentral. Lineage: Eukaryota; Viridiplantae; Streptophyta; Magnoliopsida; Solanales; Solanaceae.